AAGCAGGAAGAGGUGGGUGUACUUUCGUACCGAUUGACCUCGGAUCAGGUAGGGAUACCCGCUGAACUUAAGCAUAUCAAUAAGCGGAGGAAAAGAAACCAACCGGGAUUGCCUCAGUAACGGCGAGUGAAGCGGCAACAGCUCAAAUUUAAAAUCCGGCCCUGACGGGGUCUGAGUUGUAAUUUGCAGAGGGUGUUUCGGGGGCGGCGCCGGCCUAAGUUUCUUGGAACAGGACGUCGUAGAGGGUGAGAAUCCCGUCUGGGCGUCGGUGGCCAACCCCUGGUGAACCCCCUUCGACGAGUCGAGUUGUUUGGGAAUGCAGCUCUAAAUGGGUGGUAAAUUUCAUCUAAAGCUAAAUACCGGCCAGAGACCGAUAGCGCACAAGUAGAGUGAUCGAAAGAUGAAAAGCACUUUGAAAAGAGAGUUAAACAGUACGUGAAAUUGUUGAAAGGGAAGCGCUUGCGACCAGACCUGUCGCCGGUGCGAUUAUCCGUUAUUCGUUAACGGUGUUAUUCGCCCGGUCGCAGGCCAGCAUCGGUUCGGGUGGCGGGACAAAGCGCCCGGGAACGUAGCUUCCCCCGGGGAGCCUUAUAGCCCGGGUGGCCAUACCGCCCGCCUGGACCGAGGACCGCGCUUCGGCUAGGAUGCUGGCGUAAUGGUCGUCAGCGACCCGUCUUGAAACACGGACCAAGGAGUCUACCAUCCAUGCGAGUGUUUGGGCGUUAAACCCAGACGCGCAAUGAAAGUGAACGGAGGUGAGAUCCCCCGGGCGCGUUCCCGGAGGCGCAUCAUCGACCGAUCCAGAUGUCUUCGGAUGGAUUUGAGUACGAGCAUGGCCGGUGGGACCCGAAAGAUGAUGAACUAUGCCUGAAUAGGGUGAAGCCAGAGGAAACUCUGGUGGAGGCUCGCAGCGGUUCUGACGUGCAAAUCGAUCGUCGAAUUUGGGUAUAGGGGCGAAAGACCAAUCGAAUCAUCUAGUAGCUGGUUCACGUC
This 993-nucleotide ribosomal RNA is filed under the name Gibbosporina didyma. RNAcentral describes it as "LSU rRNA". It matches the Rfam family "Eukaryotic large subunit ribosomal RNA", at positions 1 to 962 of the family's 3401-position model. The record is from RNAcentral. Lineage: Eukaryota; Fungi; Ascomycota; Lecanoromycetes; Peltigerales; Collemataceae.